This 29-nucleotide non-coding RNA is filed under the name Mus musculus (house mouse). Lineage: Eukaryota; Metazoa; Chordata; Mammalia; Rodentia; Muridae. The record is from RNAcentral.
UUCCUCUAAGUGUGGACCCCUUGCUGUGC